This 393-nucleotide ribosomal RNA is filed under the name uncultured bacterium. RNAcentral's name for it is "partial 16S ribosomal RNA". It matches the Rfam family "Bacterial small subunit ribosomal RNA", at positions 523 to 918 of the family's 1533-position model. The record is from RNAcentral.
AUACGGAGGAUCCGAGCGUUAUCCGGAUUUAUUGGGUUUAAAGGGUGCGCAGGCGGGAGAUUAAGUCGGCGGCGAAAUUUUGCAGCUCAACUGUAAAAGUGCCUUCGAAACUGGUUUCCUUGAGUGUAGAUGAAGUAGGCGGAAUUUGUGGUGUAGCGGUGAAAUGCAUAGAUAUCACGAGGAACUCCGAUUGCGCAGGCAGCUUACUAAACUACUACUGACGCUCAGGCACGAAGGCGUGGGGAUCAAACAGGAUUAGAUACCCUGGUAGUCCACGCAGUAAACGAUGAUUACUAGCUGUUUGCGAUACAAUGUAAGCGGCUGAGCGAAAGCGUUAAGUAAUCCACCUGGGGAGUACGUUCGCAAGAAUGAAACUCAAAUGAAUUGACGGGG